RNAcentral lists this non-coding RNA (26 nucleotides) under Rattus norvegicus (Norway rat). The record is from RNAcentral. Lineage: Eukaryota; Metazoa; Chordata; Mammalia; Rodentia; Muridae.
GCCAACGAAUUGAGCUCAAGCAGGGC